This is a long non-coding RNA of Gorilla gorilla gorilla (western lowland gorilla), 5761 nucleotides long. RefSeq lists it as uncharacterized. Lineage: Eukaryota; Metazoa; Chordata; Mammalia; Primates; Hominidae. The transcript has 2 exons. The record is from RefSeq and is a predicted model, not a curated record.
CUGCCCCGCCCCGUCUCCAUGGCAACGGGCGUGUGCCUAGCCCCAGCGCUGGCUGCGGCGGAACCCACGGCGUACCUUCCCGCCUCCAACAAACUAUCCGGUUGCUGAGGUUGAUUUAGCAACACCCCAGGGCAUCUGGGUUGGCAGGAGCACCACAAUGAGAGCCUGGCCCAGGCUCGGGUACGGGAGGCAGCCCAGUGGCCCGCAGUAGAGGGCCAGGCUGGGGACCAGGGAGCUGGGGCUGAGGAGAAUUUGUACAGGCUAGGGAGCGCAGCACAGCAGUAUCAGCCUCUGGCAUUUGUACCACCUUUAGUCCUGCCACUUUCUCUCACUGUGGCUUCGCAACAGACUUGGGAACCAAGAAAGGCAUAGGUGAGGAAGCUGAAGCCCAGUCUGGGCUCGCGGAAGAAACUGGUGGAUCCAACUUCUGCAUAGCGCAAAUAUCUGCUUCCUGCCUCCACCCACCCAUUCCCACUUCCCCUGAUGGGGGAACUCUAGAGCCCCACAUCAGAGUUCAACAUGUGCCUCAGGAGCUUCAGCACCUCUUUUGUGGGAGGAGAGUCCGCUGGUGACUGGGGCUGCAGGCCAUGACAUCAGCCUGCCCAGCUUCACCUCAGGCUGCUUCCAACAGUGCCAAGUGAAGUCCCUUGGCAGGAUCCCUGCAAGGCAGCGGCUGGCCACCAGGAGGCAGCAGCCUACUCUGCAAGGCACUUUCUUCAUUCCAACCCCUUGUAACAGGUCUGAGGAAACCUGUUCGCCCAGCCAUGUGCUGCAACCAUCCUCCACUCCCAAUCUUAUCUCCCAAUAGCACAGAUUCCCCUAUCAUGAGUCCAGACUUGGCCUUCAUCUCCUUUUGCCUUCCUCUGUCCAAGGAAUCACUACAGAGAUUCUUUCUCUAUCCUUCUUUGUAAAUUUCCAGAAAAUUGUUUCCCCAGGGCCCCUCCCCUUGAAGAAAUUAAACAGGAAGCUGGAGUAGACUGUCCCUUCUUUCCCCCACCUCUCACACUCCAAAGCUCUGUUUAACUCUGUGGGCCAGUGGCUAGAUUCCCCAACAUGGAUGACAGAGAAUACACAUGCAAUAAGAAUGCUUUCGCUGCCACCAGCCACUCACAGACACACUGUCUCCCACCCUCUGAAGGCAUUGUGCCCAAUCCCCAGCCACUCACUGUCUAGUCAGGGCUGCCCCUGCAGGACUUGCCUUGGCUGAGGACCAGCUAGCUUCAAGCCAGUCUGAAGUCAGCUUGCUGUUUCCCCUGGAGCCUGGUAAUACAUCCUUCUUCAGGAGAACAAAAGCAGAAAAAGCCCAGUGAACCCCACUGCAACAAAGAGCCUGCCAUCAGUCUUCCUUCUGUUCCUGCCUAUCUCAUCACCCAAGGGCUAUCCCAGAGCCCACUAUGUUCUAAGAUCUAUUCCUUUCACCACCACCCAGCCAAACAACUAUCCAGACAAUUCCUUGAUCAAACAACACUGCCUUCUUGAGUUUAAAUUUUAUUUUACAAAAAGAGAAAUAAAGAAAACUGAUAGGCAGUUAUACUGACUUACAAUUGUUCUGUUUGCUUUUUUUUAAAAAAGUGACAUGAAACACAAGUAAAAAUAAAUACGUCAUAGAAACAGCCAGUUGCCCAGUCUCUGGGGCAGGAGCGCCUGCCCUGCUGAGAGGAGGGAAGCCCAUGAUCACACCAGCAGCUGGAUCACCCAGCCACAGAUGCUCCUCAAAGCCAGGCACAGGUCCCAGGCCUCAGGGGCGUCCUGAGGAAAGAAGACGGAAAACCAAAGCCAGGUGCCAGGACCCUGGGGCCACCUCAUUAUCCCCCACUCCUCCUGGCAGCAGUCUGGUCUUAGUGGUUAUCCAUAGCGACCCCCCUUAACCCACCUGGACCCUCUUCCCCUGACCUCUCUGAAGAUGGUACAAGGGAAAAACCUGUCUUGGGCAGGCUGGGGGGGAUUCUUCUGGUGAGUCCCCAGCCUACCCUGAGUAACACAACCAGAUAACAGUCAUUUUACACCCAGGUGCACAUGAGCACAGCACACACACACACACACACACACACACACACAGCUGGGCUGAGCUCUCUUCCAGGGAGGGUCCUGGGUCCAGUCACAGUAUGAGGUCCUCUCUCUUCUGAAUAUCAUCCCAGUAGUGGCAGCAGAGAGUACCCAAACCUCCCCAAGCCCUCUGCAUUGCAGACACUGCAGCCUGCUUGGCUACCCCUCCCCAACACACUAGAUUACUAUGUCAAAUAGACCUGCAAAAGGGAAAGGUGCACACUCAGGUCCCUGAAGAGCAAAGAAGUUGGACACUGCCUGCUCAAGAAGUUCAUCGUUAUAAGACUCAGGUAUUCACAAAAGGCCUAGGGCUAAGCUAGUAGCACAGAAAAGCCGUUAAGGGGAUCACAGCAGAAUACACACGGCAGAAGAGAAGAGUUGGCAGCAGGGGAACGGAGUCUCAAGGUGAACAAUGGAGAGCACAGCAUUCUCAAAUAGUCCUUGAGGUGCUGAUUCCUGGGAGUAGUCAGCAGAGGGCCAGAACAUCUCCCGGGGGUCCUUUUGGGGAAGGAUGACUUCACUUAGUUUUAGGGGUGAAGAGCCACUGAGCUGGGUGCACAGAAGGCCAUGGCUCAGAAGGGAAAGACUGAUCUAAGAAAUCAAAAGGAAGUGGGGGCCGGGAGCAGUGGCUCACGCCUGUAAUCCCGUCACUGGGAGGCUGAGGAGGGCGGAUCACUUGAGGUCAGGAGUUCAAGGCCAGCCUGGCCAACAUGGUGAAACCCCGUCUCUACUAAAAAAUACACAAAUUAGCUGGGCAUGGUGGUGUGCACCUGUAAUCCCAGCUACUUGGGAGGCUGAGGCAGGAGGAUCGCUUGAACCCCGGAGUGGAGGUUGCACGGAGCCAAGAUCACACCACUGCACUCAAGCCUGGGUGACAGAGCAAGACUCUGUCUCAAAAAAAAAAAAAAAAAAAAGGAAGUGGGAAGCAGAAGGUAAUAUCCAGAACACUAGUAACAAGGAAUGUAAAGCCCCCAGAAGACCUUCCCCAUGGGAUGAGGACUCAAUUUCAGAGCAAUGCCAGGUUUGAAUAGACUGACACAGAGGGCCCUUCUCUGCUGACAACUUUGGGAGUGAUGGUCGUACCCAGGCCACUUAAGUUUGGCUAAGUGUUUCAACCAAUCUGCAAAACUUUACCGCAGCACUUUGCUUCCUGCUCCUGAAUUGAGAAAUUUCAUAUUUAGUUGUGAAUCACAAGCAUAUAGAGACUCCACACACUAAUUCCUAGGGAAGAGAGCUCCAAGGACCAGACAGAAUUAUCCUUAAAUCAGGAGAUGAUGACAUAGAUGCCUAAAAAGCGUAACUCAAAGGGGUGUGGACUUCAUAGAUAUCCAAUCUAAAGAAAAUGAUAUGACCCAACAUGGUUCACUUCCUUUCUUAAAUAGCUACUUUGUCCCUGUUCAAUUUUUAUCUACAAAUAUAUUAAGAAAAGGAAAUCAAGCAUCACUAUAAAUGGUAAACCUCAAUCAUUAAGUAGUACUGUGUUCCCCAGGCUGAGAACUUGGCUAAACCAGAUGAAUGGGGCUUGAGAGGCCCUUGAAAACAUUCCAUGGAAGACAAUGGUAAGGGAAAAUGCCUAGGCCUGAUUUUCUGCCCUCCCUCUUAUGACCAGCCACCCUGCCCCCCUCAGGCCUGGAUAAUGGGUGGAAGACACCACCAAGUGUUUAUGAUCAAAGAAACUAUAAAACAUGGUUCUUAGGCUCUGAGAUACUUCCUGCUUCCCUCACAAACAUGCUUAUGUUUGGUGCGCAUGCACAUUUGCCUACCAGCACAUAUAAAGAGACAGCGGAAAAGUCAGAAGUGUUUUCAGGUUAUUUUCUUUAAAAAAAAAAAAAAAAGCAAAAACCAUGGACCUGGUAGCACUCCAAUUUCCCAUGAUCCCACCCCCAACCCCUCUACACAAUAGAAACUGCACAUAUAAAAGAAAGCCUUCUCUAGUCAGGUCAGCCUCCCAGAAUGAUGGCCUCUGCUGAGUAGAAGCAAGACCCAGUCCCUGGAACACUGGAUAGACAGUAGGCAUGUGCUGCCUCUCAGAAUACCCAUUUACUUUCUGUCAACUUCAAAAGCCAAGCCCGUCCCUCCAGGGAAUGGUUUCAGUUCCCGGCCGGGAAGGUUUCCGGAUUCUUGGAGGCUAGUACAGUGAUUUCCUAGAAGUGAACACAGAAAUACUACCCCCUUCUCCCGACAACACACACACACAGACAUACACAUGCACACAUGCAUCUCUGGGAUGCCAGUGCUCCAGGGCCUGAGAGGCAUCAGUGUAACCCAGGUUCUGAGUGUGUCCCAUAAACUGGAGAUUCAGUCUAGCUCGCUCCUACUGCACCAGCCUCAACCUGAGAGCUCACUCCAACUGAGUCCCUUCACCAUCCAUUCUUGGGAUGCAUCUGAAAGAGAAAGCACUGGUUGGAACUGCUAUUUUUAAAUUAUUAAAAUAAUUUGCAUAGCUAAAUUGUAGAUCUAAGGCUUCCAUGAGUAGAAGAGUUAAGUGUCUGGCAGGGUGCUUAUGAAAACACAAAGCUUCUUAAGUUCCACUUUUGGUGUUAUUGGACAGCAGACAAACACACAUAUACACAUGCACCCCAUCCAUCAUCUCCUUGUCUCUUCUCUGAGGACAAUACCCCAGAGUCUGCUAAGGCCCUCCAAAGAUGGAAAUGGGCUGGUCAGAAGAGCUAUAGGAGCUACUACUGGGAUGACCUGACUAAGCUGCCUUCUGGGCUGGGAAGAGGCAGGUACAGCACCUGCCCAGUAAGGAGGGAGCCAUGGGUAAGUGGUAAAGCUCUAAAGCCAAAGUUUGUUCAUCAUAAAGAACCAUCUGGCAAAGUGUUGGGGUGGGGGAUACAGAGGGGGCGGGGACACCAGUAGGAAGACAGCCAGUGUUUAUGCUUAAGGACUAGACGACCCUCCCCUGGCAACGGCAAUAAGGAGAGACCCAGAAUGACUGGUAUGUUAAGAUAAAACCCAGACUUAGGGCUCCUACAGAGAAAGGGCUCCUCCAUGUUCCUUCAAAGAUGGAGGCAGCAGACACCAGGCCUACAUGGACCACCUGAAGAUAUUUUCUAACAUGAAAUCAAUAGUCCCUCAACCCAGCAACCACCUAUCCACAGCUUCACUAUUCAGCAUAGAGAGCCAACCUCUAACAUCAUCCCAGGAGGACAUAGCUCCAAAUCUGGGGUCUCUUACUUCCCAAUUGCAAACUCCACGAUCAUAACUUUCGAUUUCUGUGGAAUGAGUCCCACCCUCCACUAACUAUCCAGUCUCAGGAUUCCCUGAUCUUCCUGAAAAGCCAUCUCUCAAAAAUAUAGUUGUUUAAUCCAAACCUUGGUCAAACCUAACUCUUUCCCUGGUCAAUUUGCCAUCCAUCCAGGAUUGUUUUUCACCAGUGGCUAUAGGGUCUGGGAUAUCUUAAAACUUCCCUUUCUAUCACCUACCCUCCUCACCCCUAACCUCCCCCCACCCCCAAAUAAACAAGACACAUGAAAAGUCCAAGUAAUAAAUAAUUGCCCAUAAGAAAUAAAUUAACAUGGAGCUCUCUAAAGGGGAAGGAAAGGAACAGGAAAGACUACCAGGAUAGGCAGCUGGGGGCUCAGUUCUACCCUGGUGAAAAAUGUAUUUUCCAGCCACAACUCUGCGACCUUUCAUUCAUGUACUGCAGUGCUUCUCCCUCCCAGCCUCUGCACACAGACAACCUUCCAAGCUGGAAAGGGAGAGCUGCUCA